RNAcentral lists this ribosomal RNA (496 nucleotides) under uncultured bacterium. RNAcentral describes it as "partial 16S ribosomal RNA". It matches the Rfam family "Bacterial small subunit ribosomal RNA", at positions 28 to 506 of the family's 1533-position model. The record is from RNAcentral.
GAUGAACGCUGGCGGCGUGCCUAAUACAUGCAAGUCGAGCGAACAGACGAGGAGCUUGCUCCUCUGACGUUAGCGGCGGACGGGUGAGUAACACGUGGAUAACCUACCUAUAAGACUGGGAUAACUUCGGGAAACCGGAGCUAAUACCGGAUAAUAUAUUGAACCGCAUGGUUCAAUAGUGAAAGACGGUUUUGCUGUCACUUAUAGAUGGAUCCGCGCCGCAUUAGCUAGUUGGUAAGGUAACGGCUUACCAAGGCAACGAUGCGUAGCCGACCUGAGAGGGUGAUCGGCCACACUGGAACUGAGACACGGUCCAGACUCCUACGGGAGGCAGCAGUAGAGAAUCUUCCGCAAUGGGCGAAAGCCUGACGGAGCAACGCCGCGUGAGUGAUGAAGGUCUUCGGAUCGUAAAACUCUGUUAUUAGGGAAGAACAAAUGUGUAAGUAACUAUGCACGUCUUGACGGUACCUAAUCAGAAAGCCACGGCUAACUACGU